This is a small nucleolar RNA of Talpa occidentalis (Iberian mole), 66 nucleotides long. RefSeq annotates it as small nucleolar RNA SNORD104. Lineage: Eukaryota; Metazoa; Chordata; Mammalia; Eulipotyphla; Talpidae. The record is from RefSeq and is a predicted model, not a curated record. The transcript has a single exon.
GCGGUGAUGACUUUCCAAAGCACGCGUUAGACUGCUGAUGCGAGUGAUGCGACCUGGAGUCUGAGC